Molecule: ribosomal RNA, 837 nt
Filed under: uncultured archaeon
Lineage: Archaea
Description: bacterial SSU rRNA
Rfam family: Archaeal small subunit ribosomal RNA
Source: RNAcentral
GGUUACUGCUAUCGGUGUUCGCCUAAGCCAUGCGAGUCAUAUGUUCUUCGGAACAUGGCGUACUGCUCAGUAACACGUGGAUAACCUGCCCUUGGGUCCGGCAUAACCCCGGGAAACUGGGGAUAAUUCCGGAUAACGCACAUAUGCUGGAAUGCUUUAUGCGUCAAAUGGAUUCGUCCGCCCAAGGAUGGGUCUGCGGCCUAUCAGGUAGUAGUGGGUGUAAUGUACCUACUAGCCUACGACGGGUACGGGUUGUGAGAGCAAGAGCCCGGAGAUGGAUUCUGAGACAUGAAUCCAGGCCCUACGGGGCGCAGCAGGCGCGAAAACUUUACAAUGCGGGAAACCGUGAUAAGGGGACACCGAGUGCCAGCAUCAUAUGCUGGCUGUCCGGGUGUGUAAAAUACACCUGUUAGCAAGGGCCGGGCAAGACCGGUGCCAGCCGCCGCGGUAACACCGGCGGCCCGAGUGGUGAUCGUGAUUAUUGGGUCUAAAGGGUCCGUAGCCGGUUUGGUCAGUCCUCCGGGAAAUCUGACGGCUUAACCGUUAGGCCUUCGGGGGAUACUGCCAGACUUGGAACCGGGAGAGGUAAGAGGUACUACAGGGGUAGGAGUGAAAUCUUGUAAUCCCUGUGGGACCACCUGUGGCGAAGGCGUCUUACCAGAACGGGUUCGACGGUGAGGGGCGAAAGCUGGGGGCACGAACCGGAUUAGAUACCCGGGUAGUCCCAGCCGUAAACGAUGCUCGCUAGGUGUCAGGCAUGGCGCGACCGUGUCUGGUGCCGCGGGGAAGCCGUGAAGCGAGCCACCUGGGAAGUACGGCCGCAAGGCUGAAACUUAA